CCUACGGGUGGCAGCAGUGGGGAAUAUUGGACAAUGGGGGCAACCCUGAUCCAGCCAUGCCGCGUGUGUGAAGAAGGCCCUCGGGUUGUAAAGCACUUUCAGUGAGGAAGAACGCCUGGUGGUUAAUACCCAUCAGGAAAGACAUCACUCACAGAAGAAGCACCGGCUAACUCCGUGCCAGCAGCCGCGGUACUACGGAGGGUGCGAGCGUUAAUCGGAAUUACUGGGCGUAAAGCGCGCGUAGGUGGCUUGAUAAGCCGGUUGUGAAAGCCCCGGGCUCAACCUGGGAACGGCAUCCGGAACUGUCAAGCUAGAGUGCAGGAGAGGAAGGUAGAAUUCCCGGUGUAGCGGUGAAAUGCGUAGAGAUCGGGAGGAAUACCAGUGGCGAAGGCGGCCUUCUGGACUGACACUGACACUGAGGUGCGAAAGCGUGGGUAGCAAACAGGAUUAGAUACCCCAGUAGUC
RNAcentral lists this ribosomal RNA (465 nucleotides) under Vreelandella stevensii. RNAcentral describes it as "partial 16S ribosomal RNA". It matches the Rfam family "Bacterial small subunit ribosomal RNA", at positions 338 to 795 of the family's 1533-position model. The record is from RNAcentral. Lineage: Bacteria; Pseudomonadati; Pseudomonadota; Gammaproteobacteria; Oceanospirillales; Halomonadaceae.